This 1762-nucleotide long non-coding RNA is filed under the name Citrus x clementina. RNAcentral's name for it is "Citrus clementina (C. clementina) long non-coding RNA (CCLE_LNC003185)". Lineage: Eukaryota; Viridiplantae; Streptophyta; Magnoliopsida; Sapindales; Rutaceae. The record is from RNAcentral.
CCUUGGGGGGUGGGGCUGGCCAACAUCGUCCGCCGGACUCGGAAUGCCGCGAACCAUUGCGAGGGGCCUCCGUGUGCCAAAAAUAGGCCACGGGAAAAGCCGCGCCCAAAAAUAACCGCCCGAUGGCCGGGGCGCCAAGUUCUUCCAGCGGAAAAAGGCCACAAAAACGGGUGGGCUAUAGCCUUGGGGGGUGGGGCUGGCCAACAUCGUCCGCCGGACUCGGAAUGCCGCGAGCCAUUGCGAGGGGCCUCCGUGUGCCAAAAAUAGGCUGCAGGCAAAGCCGCGCCCAAAAAUAACCGCCCGAAAGCCGGGGCGCCAAGUUCGUCCAGCGGAAAAAGGCCACAAAAACGGGUGGGCUAUAGCCUCGGGGGGUGGGGCUGCCCAACUUUGUCCGCCGUACUCGGAAUGCUGCGAGCCAUUGCGAGGGGCCUCCGUGUGCCAAAAAUAGGCCACGGGAAAAGCCGCGCCCAAAAUUAACCGCCCGAUGGCCGGGGCGCCAAGUUCUUCCAGCGGAAAAAGGCCACAAAAACGGGUGGGCUAUAGCCUUGGGGGGUGGGGCUGGCCAACAUCGUCCGCCGGACUCGGAAUGCCGCAAACCAUUGCGAGGGGCCUCCGUGUGCCAAAAAUAGGCCACGGGAAAAGCCGCGCCCAAAAAUAACCGCCCGAUGGCCGGGGCGCCAAGUUCUUCCAGCGGAAAAAGGCCACAAAAACGGGUGGGCUAUAGCCUUGGGGGGUGGGGCUGGCCAACAUCGUCCGCCGGACUCGGAAUGCCGCGAGCCAUUGCGAGGGGCCUCCGUGUGCCAAAAAUAGGCUGCAGGCAAAGCCGCGCCCAAAAAUAACCGCCCGAAAGCCGGGGCGCCAAGUUCGUCCAGCGGAAAAAGGCCACAAAAACGGGUGGGCUAUAGCCUCGGGGGGUGGGGCUGCCCAACUUUGUCCGCCGUACUCGGAAUGCUGCGAGCCAUUGCGAGGGGCCUCCGUGUGCCAAAAAUAGGCCACGGGAAAAGCCGCGCCCAAAAUUAACCGCCCGAUGGCCGGGGCGCCAAGUUCUUCCAGCGGAAAAAGGCCACAAAAACGGGUGGGCUAUAGCCUUGGGGGGUGGGGCUGGCCAACAUCGUCCGCCGGACUCGGAAUGCCGCAAGCCAUUGCGAGGGGCCUCCGUGUGCCAAAAAUAGGCUGCAGGCAAAGCCGCGCCCAAAAAUAACCGCCCGAAAUCCGGGGCGCCAAGUUCGUCCAGCGGAAAAAGGCCACAAAAACGGGUGGGCUAUAGCCUUGGGGGGUGGGGCUGGCCAACUUCGUCCGCCGGACUCGGAAUGCCUCGAGACUUUGAGAGGGGCCUCUGUGUGCCAAAAAUAGGCCACAGGCAAAGAUGCGCCCAAAAAUAACCGCCCGAAGGCCGGGGCGCCAAGUUCGUCCAGCAUAAAAAGGCCACAAAAACGGGUGGGCUAUAGCCUUGGGGGGUGGGGCUGGCCAACUUCGUCCGCCGGACUCGGAAUGCCGCGAGACGUUGCGAGGGGCCUCCGUGUGCCAAAAAUAGGCUGCGGGAAAAGCCGUGCCCAAUAAUAACCGCCCGAAGGCCGGGGCGCCAAGUUCGUCCAGCGGAAAAAGGCCACAAAUACGGGUGGGCUAUAGCCUUGGGGGGUGGGGCUGGCCAACUUCGUCCGCCGGACUCGGAAUGCCGUGAGACUUUGUGAGGGGCCUCCCUGUCCCAAAAAUACGCAGCGGGCAAAGCCGCGCCCAAAAAUAACUGCUCGAAGGCCGGUNN